This 210-nucleotide long non-coding RNA is filed under the name Gossypium raimondii (Peruvian cotton). Its description in RNAcentral is "long non-coding RNA (GRAI_LNC001392)". Lineage: Eukaryota; Viridiplantae; Streptophyta; Magnoliopsida; Malvales; Malvaceae. The record is from RNAcentral.
AAAACCAAGACAAGUAGAAAAAAUAACAUAAAACACCGAUUUCCCAAAAUGCCUAAGACCAAAUUCGGCACAACCUAACCCCAGCCGAAUUUCCCAAGCUAAAAACUCCUCAAACGACACAACUCUCCUCUCAACCCACUCCUAAAUUUUCUCCUCAAAUCCCUUCCCUUAUCCUUCCUUGAAUCUCUCCACCCACUACUCCUCAACUCC